This 747-nucleotide ribosomal RNA is filed under the name uncultured bacterium. RNAcentral describes it as "bacterial SSU rRNA". It matches the Rfam family "Bacterial small subunit ribosomal RNA", at positions 1 to 748 of the family's 1533-position model. The record is from RNAcentral.
CCCUUAGAGUUUGAUCCUGGCUCAGGAUGAACGCUAGCGGCAGGCCUAAUACAUGCAAGUCGAACGAGAUUCAAGACUUCGGUUUUGAUGAAAGUGGCGCACGGGUGCGUAACGCGUAUGCAACCUACCUUGUACAGGGGGAUAGCCCGGAGAAAUUCGGAUUAAUACCCCAUAGCAUUACCAGAUGGCAUCUGAAGGUAAUUAAAGAUUUAUCGGUACAAGAUGGGCAUGCGUGACAUUAGUUAGUUGGUAAGGUAACGGCUUACCAAGACUAUGAUGUCUAGGGGUUCUGAGAGGAUGAUCCCCCACACUGGUACUGAGAUACGGACCAGACUCCUACGGGAGGCAGCAGUAGGGAAUAUUGGUCAAUGGGCGAGAGCCUGAACCAGCCAUGCCGCGUGCAGGAAGACGGCCUUCUGAGUUGUAAACUGCUUUUAUACGGGAAGAAAAUGCCCUUGCGAGGGAAAUUGCCGGUACCGUAUGAAUAAGCACCGGCUAACUCCGUGCCAGCAGCCGCGGUAAUACGGAGGGUGCAAGCGUUGUCCGGAUUUAUUGGGUUUAAAGGGUGCGUAGGCGGGUCUUUAAGUCAGUGGUGAAAGCCUGCGGCUCAACCGUAGAACUGCCAUUGAUACUGGAGGCCUUGAGUGUACUAGAGGUAGGCGGAAUUUAUGGUGUAGCGGUGAAAUGCAUAGAUACCAUAAAGAACACCGAUAGCGUAGGCAGCUUACUGGAGUACAACUGACGCUG